Molecule: ribosomal RNA, 909 nt
Filed under: marine metagenome
Description: bacterial SSU rRNA
Rfam family: Bacterial small subunit ribosomal RNA (bases 226-909)
Source: RNAcentral
ACUUCCACAUUGGAGUGGACGGUGGCGUCACCUCCAGCUUUUCAUACUUUUGAGGAAAUUCCUGCGAUUAAGGAGUCUUCUUCUCAGACCGUGUUAAAGUAAUUGAUUGUCGGGUUUCAAGUUCGAGGGUCUACUUUGAUGGACCCUCUUCUUGGCGUGGAGUAUAGUCUAUAUAUUUUUUUGUCCAAAUUUCAGAGAGUGCGCUAACGUAUGAAAUCAGCCGCCUGGGGACUACGGCCGCAAGGCUAAAACCCAAAGGAAUUGACGGGGGCUUACACAAGCGGUGGAGCAUGUGGUUUAAUUCGAAACAACGCGCAAAACCUUACCAAUCCUUGACAUAUGAAAAACCAGAGUGUUUACUUGCUCUGUUUCUUUUAUACAGGUGCUGCAUGGCUGUCGUCAGUUCGUGGUGUGAGCUGUUGGGUUAAGUCCCAGAACGAACGCAACCCUCCUUUGAAAUGAAGGGUCUCCUUUUUCAAAGACUGCCAAGGAUAUCUUGGAGGAAGGUGAGGACGACGUCAAGUCCGCAUGGCCCUUAUGGGUUGGGCUACACACGUGCUACAAUGGGAAUGACAAAAGGAGGCAACAUGGCAACAUUGAGCAAACCCAAAAAAGUUCCCUGAGUUCGGAUUGUUCUCUGCAACUCGAGAACAUGAAGUUGGAAUCGCAAGUAAUCGUAGAUCAGCACGCUACGGUGAAUUUGUAUCUAAGCCUUGUACACACCGCCCGUCACACUCUGAAAAUUUUCAUGCCUUGAAGCAAAAGAAAUUCGCAAUGAACACACAGCCAAAAAACAAAAGACCACACUUUCCUUCUUUUUAUCUGUGUCGUUGUUGGGUUCUUUUCUAGAGUUAGGAAGGUAAUUGGAGUGAAGUCGUAACAAGGUAGCUGUAGGGGAACCUGUAGCUG